Molecule: long non-coding RNA, 949 nt
Organism: Esox lucius (northern pike)
Lineage: Eukaryota; Metazoa; Chordata; Actinopteri; Esociformes; Esocidae
Source: Ensembl
ACACUGAACACACACACACACACAACCAGACACACUGGACACACACACAGCCAGACAUAUUGAAAACACACACCCCGCGGGUAAUGGCGAAGGGAAUUCACGUGGCAGUGCCAAGCCCAGAGGCGACCUAUUCUCACUAAGACACAUGCACACAUGCUAACAAACACACACUAACAAAUACACAGUGCCAAGCCCAGAGGCGACCUAUUCUCCGCCAGCUGAUUCACUACCGCAGGUGUGUUCAGACACGCACACACACACACACACUAAUACACACACUAAAACACACACUAACAAACCCACUUUCCAGAACCCCAGAGGGAGCCAACCCUUGGAGAGGAAGCUGGGUUGGGGACAUUCACAUCAUGGGUCAACUGUUUGACCUCAGCCUUUUUGCUACAGCCAAACCCCACUUCCAGACAUGGUCAUUUAUUCUUCAAAAGGAGUCAUGAUCUGUGUACUUCCUGGGUCACAGAACUAGUGUGUGUAUGUGUGUGUUUGUGUGUGUUCAGUGUGUGUAUGUGUGUAGGUGUGUGUUUGGGUGUGUUCAGUGUGUGUAUGUGUGUAGGUGUGUGUUUGGGUGUGUUCAGUGUGUGUGUGUAUGUGUGUGCAUUGAGGUGUGUGUUUUUGUGUGGAUGUGUAUGUGGGAUGCAGGCAGAAGGCAACAGUCAUGCAAACGGGAAGGGACAGAUGUAGCAGGAAACAUCACAACAUGGAGAAAUUAUCUAUAUCACACACACACCAGGGAUAAGGGUAGGUCACUAUUAACUUAAGCAUAUUUAAUUCUGCUCUGAGUUGAAUAAAUGUAAUUAAAGAGGACAGGACAGAUGUUAUACACCUGUCUCGGAAUAUGCUCACACACGCACACGCUCCCACACGCACACACGCCACACACACACACACACACAAACACACGAUGGGACGGAAGGAGAUUGAACAUGCAGAAAUG